Molecule: long non-coding RNA, 1735 nt
Filed under: Canis lupus familiaris (dog)
Lineage: Eukaryota; Metazoa; Chordata; Mammalia; Carnivora; Canidae
Description: lncRNA (ENSCAFG00000052435.1)
Source: RNAcentral
AACAUAACCAAAUGUUGGAAAGGUGACAAAAGAUGAAUGUCAGAGGAAAACUUGGUUAGGACAUUUCUGAAUACCCAUCUCUGUUGAAUACCUGGCACAUAACACUACACCCAAUGACAUGUUUGUUGAAAAGAUUUCUUUCCCUGCUAGUUUAAAUAAUGAUUGGGGGCAUAAUGGUGGGUAUAAAGAUACAAAUUAAAAUUUGUUAAAAUGGCUCUACCAGAUACUUGGGGAGGUGGGUUGUUGUCAAACAUCAAAAGUCACAAUCUCCACUUAAAAGCAUAUGACGCCAGCCAUACUAAAUAUUUAAUACAUCGUCUGUGAGGACUAACAAAUAUACUUUGGGCAGAGACGCCUGGAUGGCUCAGUGGUUGUGCCGUCUACCUUCAGCUCAGGGAGUGAUUCUGGGAUCCUGGAUUGAGUCCCACAUCCAGCUCCCCGCAUGGAGCCUGCUUCUCCCUCUGUCUAUGUCUCUGCCUCUCUCUCUCUCUCAUGAAUAAAUAAAUAAAAUCUUUAAAAAAAAGGAAAAAUAUACUUUGGGCAUAUAUCGAUCGAGGUUAUGAGAGGCAUUAGUUCUUCCAUUUAUUUUACAGAUGGAGAAACUGAGGUCUGGAAAGGGGAAGGACUUGCCCUGUCAUCAGUUAAUUUUUUUUUUUAAUGACUCAAGGUUAUCAUGAUGGCAAAUAAUUCCUCAAUCUAAUGGUCCUUUGCUUUCACCAUAAUAUUAAUGAGCCAUUCUUCUUAAAAAAAUGACUCACCAAGAGCAGAGCAGACUGACCAGCAGCUUUUGGGACUGCACUGAAACCUUCCCACUCCAACCACAGCCAAUUUAUAACCAGUCUGUGCUACAGACCACUCACACUUGGUCCUGACCCAAGAGGAGCCUUGCCCCAAUCAGAAUGGAAUAACUGGGAAAACUCAGGCUAAACAGAGAUGAAACAAGGAAAAGGAGCUUGGAUGAUUUGGAACACAAGCAUCCUGAAUACCAAUCCUUUAUGAAUCCCAAAUUGCCAGGCAUUCCUUUGAUUUUGAAACUCGGUGGGGAGAUUGAAAACAGGAGUCCUUUCCUUCUGGAAAUGCAUUGUCUCUUUAUUCUGCUGUGGUGCAUCAGAGAUGUUGUUGCCUCUCGGUGCCUGGUACUCGGAGCCCCCGUCCUGCUGGUCCAGGGGAAAGUCUGGGAGGCCCAGGAAAUCAACUGCUCUUCAAGAACGGCAGCAUCUGCUAGGGAGGUAGCCCCGCGGUGUCUGUUUCUGAGCCAGAGAAAUAUUAAGUAAACCUAAGGAGGAUGGAUGGCUUUCCAGGGCCCUUUAAAUCUCCGCGUUCCCGGGAACGAACCAGAAGGCAGACGGGGUAGAUCGAUCCUCGGCUUCCCGCGUACCGGGUCUGCAAGGAGCGGGGCAGGGUGCGGAGGGGAAAGGAGACGGGGUUGAGCGGGCGGAGGAAGCUGCUGGAAGACCCGCAGGCCCGCAUUCGGGGAGCGCGCGGGCGGCGGGCGGGCGGGCUUCGGGGCGCAGGGCGGGGGGUCGCGAGGCAGACCCCGCGAGGCCGAGCCGGGCCUGCCCGCCUGCCCGCCCGCCCCGCGCGGGCUCCACGUCCACCUCGCCUCCUGUUUUUUUUGUUUGUUUGUUUUUUGUUUUUUUUUUUUCAUAAAACAAAACCUACAAGGAGGCUCCCGGCUCCCUUUCUUCGGCGGCGCCCGAAAGACCCGGAAAGGCGAAGACGCGCGCGGGGACCG